AAGUGGAUUAGUGGCGCACGGGUGAGUAAUGCAUAGGUUAUGUGCCCUUUAGUCUGGGAUAGCCACUGGAAACGGUGAAAAUAAUACCGGAUAUUCCCUACGGGGGAAAGGUUUUUCGCUAAAGGAUCAGCCUAUGUCCUAUCAGCUUGUUGGUGAGGUAAUGGCUCACCAAGGCUAUGACGGGUAUCCGGCCUGAGAGGGUGAUCGGACACACUGGAACUGAGACACGGUCCAGACUCCUACGGGAGGCAGCAGUAGGGAAUAUUGCUCAAUGGGGGAAACCCUGAAGCAGCAACGCCGCGUGGAGGAUGAAGGUUUUCGGAUUGUAAACUCCUUUUGUUAGAGAAGAUU
Molecule: ribosomal RNA, 351 nt
Filed under: uncultured Helicobacter sp.
Lineage: Bacteria; Pseudomonadati; Campylobacterota; Epsilonproteobacteria; Campylobacterales; Helicobacteraceae
Description: bacterial SSU rRNA
Rfam family: Bacterial small subunit ribosomal RNA
Source: RNAcentral